Molecule: ribosomal RNA, 356 nt
Filed under: uncultured bacterium
Lineage: Bacteria
Description: bacterial SSU rRNA
Rfam family: Bacterial small subunit ribosomal RNA
Source: RNAcentral
GUAGGCGGCCUGUUGCGUCCGCUGUGAAAGCCCGGGGCUUAACCCCGGGUCUGCAGUGGAUACGGGCAGGCUAGAGGUAGGUAGGGGAGAAUGGAAUUCCCGGUGUAGCGGUGAAAUGCGCAGAUAUCGGGAGGAACACCGGUGGCGAAGGCGGUUCUCUGGGCCUUACCUGACGCUGAAGAGCGAAAGCGUGGGGAGCGAACAGGAUUAGAUACCCUGGUAGUCCACGCCGUAAACGUUGGGCGCUAGGUGUGGGAUCCUUCCACGGAUUCCGUGCCGCAGCUAACGCAUUAAGCACCCCGCCUGGGGAGUACGGCCGCAAGGCUAAAACUCAAAGGAAUUGGCGGGGGAGCACA